RNAcentral lists this non-coding RNA (88 nucleotides) under unclassified sequences. The record is from RNAcentral.
AAAGAUUUGCCACCGGGCAAACGAAUGUAAAGCAUUCAGGUACUUAUCGUUAGGUCUUUGAAGAUAAGUGCGUGGGUGCUAUUUUUUU